CUGAUUGCGCGGUCGCCGGAGACCUCCUCCCUGCUUCCUUCUCCGCCGGGCGCCAGAGAAGCCCCCGCCGCCGCCAGAGAAGCCCCCGCCGCCAAACAAGCCCCCGCCGCCAGAGAAGCCCCCGCCGCCAGAGAACUCCCCUGCCUGCUUGCUCCUGCCUGCUUGCUUGCCAGAGAAGCCCCCUGCUUGCUUGCUUCUUCUCUCCUGUUCUUUGCCGACUCUGCCCUGCUGCACAUCCUCUGCCCUGCUGCUUGCUUCUCUUCUCCCCUGUUCUUCGCCGACAGAGACAGAGAACUCCCCUGGUUCUUCCCCGGCAGAGAAGCAUCAUGGUGGCGGCUUUAUGGAACUGAAACACCAGCUCUACAGAAGAUGGCUACCAAGAUCCUAUCUUUAACAGCAAGUUCUUCUGGUUGUGAAAGAAAUUGGAGUGGGUUUGAUGGGGUGUACACUAAGAAGAGAAAUAGGCUUACUACAGACCGCCUCAACAAGUUGGUCUACAUUCAGUUCAACAACAGGCUAAUUAAUAAGAGAGCAAAGAUCAAGUCCAAGAAAAUUACUGAUGUUCUCUUGUCUAGUGGUACAACUAAAGCUCAAGGUUUCCUCCAAGAGAAUGGAGAUGAUUGUGCAUUAGUCUCCUUUAGAGAUGACGAAGACGAGGAAGAAGUCAUGGAAGCAGUGCUUGAGGAUUAG
Molecule: unclassified non-coding RNA, 690 nt
Filed under: Zea mays
Lineage: Eukaryota; Viridiplantae; Streptophyta; Magnoliopsida; Poales; Poaceae
Description: misc RNA Zm00001eb220580
Source: RNAcentral